Macrobrachium nipponense is the source of this 1375-nucleotide long non-coding RNA. RefSeq lists it as uncharacterized. NCBI's taxonomy places the organism in Eukaryota, Metazoa, Arthropoda, Malacostraca, Decapoda, Palaemonidae. The record is from RefSeq and is a predicted model, not a curated record. The transcript is spliced from 3 exons.
CUUACAUUGCAUUAUUAAAGCCCAAUUCCUCGCUGUAUUUCAACACAAAUAAACAGGAACAUUCAACUUGACUUCCUGUCGCAGUUUCCAAGAUCCUUGGGAGGUCGAGUUGAGUAACAGCUUUUCCUGAUCAUCAACUGCCUGCUACGGUCGCUAACCAGAGGCUUUCUCGUCAGCUGACAAGUUUGCGGGUGUCUGAUUAGUGUUGGUUGUUUGUGCUGUUCGGAGCAUUGAAGUAACUUUGGAUUCAACAGACAUCGAAGAUAAAUCCCUUCUCGACCACUUCUUUAUUCAGGACUUCGGAUAAUGGUAAAAAAGAUGGAACAAUAAGGUUUCAUUCAUUGAGGAAUGAACGGUACUCGGCAGUCAUUCUUAAGAAUUAAGUGGCGAAAUCGUCCACGUAUUCUCUUGAUCCUAAGUGGCGAGGAGAGAGUGAAUUACAACCCUGGUUAUCUAAAUGAAAAGCUCUAAAUCUGUGUAUAAGUUAAUAGCUGUAGGUGUAAGAAGGAUGAAUGUACCUAAAUAUAAAUAUUUAAUGAAUUGUAGAAAGUAAUUAAAUACUAUUAAAUUUCACUAUAGUUACGUUUAUGUAUCUUGGAUAGUUGUGAAACGCAAUUAAUAUUCAGUUCAUGAGUUGUAGAAAGUAAUUAAAUCCUAUUUGAUUUCAUAAUUCAGUUAAAUUUUUGUAUCUUGAAUACAGUUGUGAAACGCAUUAAUAUGGUUUUAAGUUUAAAUUUUAUACUUUUACAUUUUUGUAUCUUGAAUACAGUUGUGAAACGCAAUCUGGUUUUAAGUUUAAAUUUUAUACGUUUACAUUUUUGUAUCUUGAAUACAGUUGUGAAAUGCAAUUAGUCUGGUUUUAAGUACCGCUAAUCUGGAUGGUUUGUAAACUAUUAACCUUGGAACUGUAUAUAGAAUGUAUACUUGUGUAAGACUUUUGGGAGAAAUAAAAUUCUUACCCGAGAAAGAACUUUGUCUGAAUUGCUUCUAAUGGAGAUGAUAAUGAAAAGAGAAAAUCUCAUGAGUAGCGUAAGUUUUCAUAAGAUAUACUUAUUACCUAUCAUAGAAAGUGAAAUUAGUUUUAACCUAUGUCAAAGCGUAAAAUUGUUUAUAAAAAAAAAAAAAAAAACUGGGCAUUACUCAUGAGUUAGGUAUCUUGAAAUAUUGUUAAGGACUCAAAAGGUCAGGAAGCCACCACGCUAAUAUUGUUCGGGGAACAGCUGUGAAAUUUUGGUAAGAAGCGUGAAAUGUGGUAAAAAGCUUUCAAAUUGGUUAUCAGAGAACAGUGGAGCUCACGAUCCAAGAAUGAUCUUUAUGGGUCCCUCAAACCUAAGGAAGGUCGAAGGCACCAGCAGCUGUGCAGUUUAUGAAAAUC